This 160-nucleotide ribosomal RNA is filed under the name uncultured organism. Its description in RNAcentral is "partial 16S ribosomal RNA". It matches the Rfam family "Bacterial small subunit ribosomal RNA", at positions 332 to 507 of the family's 1533-position model. The record is from RNAcentral.
UAUACUCUUACGGGAGGCAGCAGUGGGGAAUUUUCCGCAAUGGGCGAAAGCCUGACGGAGCAAUGCCGCGUGGAGGUGGAAGGCCUACGGGUCGUCAACUUCUUUUCUCGGAGAAGAAACAAUGACGGAAUCUGAGGAAUAAGCAUCGGCUAACUCUGUG